This 400-nucleotide ribosomal RNA is filed under the name uncultured bacterium. RNAcentral's name for it is "bacterial SSU rRNA". It matches the Rfam family "Bacterial small subunit ribosomal RNA", at positions 355 to 772 of the family's 1533-position model. The record is from RNAcentral.
UGGGGAAUAUUGGACAAUGGGGGAAACCCUGAUCCAGCAAUGCCGCGUGAGUGAUGAAGGCCUUAGGAUUGUAAAAUUCUUUCACCGGGGAAGAUAAUGACGGUACCCGGAGAAGAAGCCCCGGCUAACUUCGUGCCAGCAGCCGCGGUAAUACGAAGGGGGCUAGCGUUGCUCGGAAUUACUGGGCGUAAAGGGCGCGUAGGCGGACAGUUUAGUCAGAGGUGAAAGCCCAGGGCUCAACCUUGGAACUGCCUUUGAUACUGACUGUCUUGAGUUCGGGAGAGGUGAGUGGAAUGCCGAGUGUAGAGGUGAAAUUCGUAGAUAUUCGGCGGAACACCAGUGGCGAAGGCGACUCACUGGCCCGAUACUGACGCUGAGGCGCGAAAGCGUGGGGAGCAAA